Molecule: ribosomal RNA, 508 nt
Filed under: Salmonella enterica
Lineage: Bacteria; Pseudomonadati; Pseudomonadota; Gammaproteobacteria; Enterobacterales; Enterobacteriaceae
Also listed under: 1 other name
Description: partial 23S ribosomal RNA
Rfam family: Bacterial large subunit ribosomal RNA
Source: RNAcentral
GAAUGCUGACAUAAGUAACGAUAAAGCGGGUGAAAAGCCCGCUCGCCGGAAGACCAAGGGUUCCUGUCCAACGUUAAUCGGGGCAGGGUGAGUCGACCCCUAAGGCGAGGCCGAAAGGCGUAGUCGAUGGGAAACGGGUUAAUAUUCCCGUACUUGGUGUUACUGCGAAGGGGGGACGGAGAAGGCUAUGUUGGCCGGGCGACGGUUGUCCCGGUUUAAGCGUGUAGGUGUGUGUUCCAGGUAAAUCCGGUUCACUUUAACACUGAGGCGUGAUGACGAGGCACUACGGUGCUGAAGCAACAAAUGCCCUGCUUCCAGGAAAAGCCUCUAAGCAUCAGGUAACAUCAAAUCGUACCCCAAACCGACACAGGUGGUCAGGUAGAGAAUACCAAGGCGCUUGAGAGAACUCGGGUGAAGGAACUAGGCAAAAUGGUGCCGUAACUUCGGGAGAAGGCACGCUGACACGUAGGUGAAGUGAUUUACUCACGGAGCUGAAGUCAGUCGAAGA